UCCCCCAUAGCUCAGUUGGUAAAGAAUCUGCCUGCAAUGCAGGAGACCCUGGUUUGAUUCCUGGGUUGGGAA
Molecule: transfer RNA, 72 nt
Filed under: Bos taurus (domestic cattle)
Lineage: Eukaryota; Metazoa; Chordata; Mammalia; Artiodactyla; Bovidae
Also listed under: 5 other names
Rfam family: tRNA
About the family: Transfer RNA (tRNA) molecules are approximately 80 nucleotides in length. Their secondary structure includes four short double-helical elements and three loops (D, anti-codon, and T loops). Further hydrogen bonds mediate the characteristic L-shaped molecular structure. tRNAs have two regions of fundamental functional importance: the anti-codon, which is responsible for specific mRNA codon recognition, and the 3' end, to which the tRNAs corresponding amino acid is attached (by aminoacyl-tRNA synthetases). tRNAs cope with the degeneracy of the genetic code in two manners: having more than one tRNA (with a specific anti-codon) for a particular amino acid; and 'wobble' base-pairing, i.e. permitting non-standard base-pairing at the 3rd anti-codon position.
Source: Rfam by way of RNAcentral